RNAcentral lists this ribosomal RNA (253 nucleotides) under uncultured bacterium. RNAcentral describes it as "partial 16S ribosomal RNA". It matches the Rfam family "Bacterial small subunit ribosomal RNA", at positions 524 to 776 of the family's 1533-position model. The record is from RNAcentral.
GACGUAGGGGGCGAGCGUUGUCCGGAUUUAUUGGGCGUAAAGCGCGCGUAGGCGGCUGCGCAAGUCGGUUGUGAAACCCCGGGGCUCAACCCCGGAACUGCAUCCGAUACUGCGUGGCUAGAGGUAGGUAGGGGAGAUCGGAAUUCCUGGUGUAGCGGUGAAAUGCGCAGAUAUCAGGAGGAACACCGGUGGCGAAGGCGGGCUACUGGGCCGAUACUGACGCUGAUGCGCGAAAGCCAGGGGAGCGAACGGG